RNAcentral lists this ribosomal RNA (247 nucleotides) under uncultured bacterium. Its description in RNAcentral is "partial 16S ribosomal RNA". It matches the Rfam family "Bacterial small subunit ribosomal RNA", at positions 796 to 1041 of the family's 1533-position model. The record is from RNAcentral.
CACGCCGUAAACGAUGAGUGCUAGGUGUCGGGGGGGAACCCUCGGUGCCGCAGCUAACGCAAUAAGCACUCCACCUGGGGAGUACGAUCGCAAGAUUGAAACUCAAAGGAAUUGACGGGGGCCCGCACAAGCGGUGGAGCAUGUGGUUUAAUUCGAAGCAACGCGCAGAACCUUACCAACCCUUGACAUCGGGAUCGCGGAUUACAGAGAUGUUUUCCUUCAGUUCGGCUGGAUCCCAGACAGGUGC